GAUGAACGCUGACAGCAUGCUUAACACAUGCAAGUCUUUGGCGAAGCUGUGCUUGCACCGCCUAGCCAAGGCGGACGGGUGAGUAAGGCGUAAGGAACUUGCCCUGCAGUCAGGGAUAACAGACGGAAACGACUGAUAAGACCUGGUAAAGUCAGGCGGACUCAUGUCCAGCCUGAUGAAAAGAGAUGCUGCAGGAGAGCCUUGCGUCCUAUUAGCUUGUUGGUGGGGUAACGGCCCACCAAGGCGAUGAUAGGUAGCCGGCCUGAGAGGGUGGACGGCCACAAGGGGACUGAGAUACGGCCCUUACUCCUACGGGAGGCAGCAGUGGGGAAUAUUGGACAAUGGGGGCAACCCUGAUCCAGCAAUUCUGUGUGCACGAUGAAGGUUUUCGGAUUGUAAAGUGCUUUCAGCAGGGAAGAAAAAAAUGACGGUACCUGCAGAAGAAGCGACGGCUAAAUACGUG
RNAcentral lists this ribosomal RNA (463 nucleotides) under uncultured bacterium. RNAcentral's name for it is "partial 16S ribosomal RNA". It matches the Rfam family "Bacterial small subunit ribosomal RNA", at positions 28 to 507 of the family's 1533-position model. The record is from RNAcentral.